This 243-nucleotide long non-coding RNA is filed under the name Manihot esculenta (cassava). RNAcentral's name for it is "long non-coding RNA (MESC_LNC012213)". Lineage: Eukaryota; Viridiplantae; Streptophyta; Magnoliopsida; Malpighiales; Euphorbiaceae. The record is from RNAcentral.
CGAGGCAGAUGAAAUCGAACAACGGUAACAAAAUGGUAGCAGCAGAUGAAAUAGAACAAUUGUGGCACGCAGCUGAAACGAAGCAGUAGAUUAAAUCGAAGAACAGGGCUGCUCCUUGUCAAGAUCAAUCGAACAACGGUGAAAAAGUACAAUGCGUGCAGCGGUGAGGUGGUGGACACAGCUACAAUGACGGUUAACUGCAGCUGCUCCUUCUCGUUCUCCAGUUGAACCACUGGUCGAAAG